This is a long non-coding RNA of Ictalurus punctatus (channel catfish), 2503 nucleotides long. RefSeq lists it as uncharacterized. NCBI's taxonomy places the organism in Eukaryota, Metazoa, Chordata, Actinopteri, Siluriformes, Ictaluridae. The transcript has 4 exons. The record is from RefSeq and is a predicted model, not a curated record.
UUGUCAAAGGUUCACUAGCUAAUUAGGUUAAUUAGGUGUGUUCUGAACCCACAUUGCAUUCAGCGCAUUCAGCAGUGUGUAACCAAGAUGCGUCCGGAAAAUACUUGUAUAAGUAAAUACAGAGAAUUUGUUUAAAACAUUUUUUUACCAGACAACGUGUACGGAGUCCUAUGCAGCAGUGAGAACAGUGUCGAGAAGCACCUGGAGAUGGGAAGAAGCUCCUGGCUGCCGGACAGCUGGCCGACGCACUUUCCCAUUUCCACGCAGCUGUUGGUGAGUCGGUGAGCUUUUCUCAGAAAGUCACCAGCAAUCAUUUCUUUAUUUCUGCAAAAAAAAAUAUUCUGUCUGAAUCUUAACCGACCACUUUCUGACAUCCGUGUGUAGACGGUGACCCGAAAAAAUACUUGGCCUACUACAGAAGAGCCACCGUCUACCUGGCCACGGACAAGUCUAAAUCCGCUUUACCGGAUCUAAGCAAAGUCAUCGAGUGUCAUGAUUUCCCCUUGAAGCAGCGUGCUCUAAGCGCGAAUGCGCAAGCACCUGCUUUUCCGUUGUUGACAGUAGUGACAUCUGGACACGUGUGUUUUGUUUAUGUUUCUGUCACGUCUCCUCCCUGUUCUGUCAUUGGCUGGGAUUUCACGUGUGUCUGUAUUGCCCUCAGCAAGUUUAGAGGCUGAUCAGUUUAGACGCUGAUCAUGUCCACAUAUAUACCGCGCGCCUCCCAGCACACAACGCGGAAGAUUAUCCUAGAGUUAGAUUGGUUUGUUUAGUAGUCAUAGUCACGGUCCAUGUUUAGAGUUCGUUCACGCUGGAUUAUCCGCUCCCAGUUCCUCGUCAUAGUUCAUGUUUCUCGUCUAGUUUAUCGACCCUGUUUUCCGUGGCCACGACCUUGAUUCAUGUUUAACCCUGUGUAUGCCUGUUUGCCGAUCGCCUGACCUUCGCCUGUUUUGGAUUAUGUUUUGGAUUUGUCUGCCUGUCUCUCUUUUAAAAUAAACAACUGUUCAUACUGCAAUUGCAUCCGUCUUAUCUCCGCUCCGUCACGAUACGUGACAUCGAGUUAAACCUGAUUUCACAUCGGAUAGCCCAGAAGAAGCUCAUUAAAGCCUACAGGGAGUUCUCACAGCAGUGACACCCAGACAACGUCCAGGAUCCUGAAGAGAAGAACAAGGCUGAGAAGAAGUUCAUAGACAUCGCACAGGCCAAGGAAGUGCUCACUGAGCCAGAAACAAGGAGUUCAUUUGACAAGGGUGAAGACCCAAUGGACCCUGAGAGCAAGCACGGAGAAGGCCAUCACCAUUUCCACGGGGCCUGGGAGAGUUUCCAGGGCUUUAACCCUAUUGGCUCUGGACUGUUCAACUUUAAAUUCAACUUUAACUAAGAUCAUCCAGGAGGACAUCAGUCUGAUCUGAAUAUAUAGCAUCAGGCAUGCAGCGAGAAGUGUAACCUGUUGAACCUGUUUGACACUAACUGCCAUAGAUGUGGCUACAGAAGCCACUGUGGCAUGAAGAUGCAUCAUAUGCUGUUGAAUAUUCUCAGACUUGCCAAGCUGAGCUAAGUGGUAUUAUAUAAAGUAAUUAUUUCAGGGACCAUCAGAGUGUGGGGGUUCAUUCCCAAGCAACCAACUAUCCUAAAACUAUUGUGUGUGUGUGUGUGUGUGUGUGUGUGUGUGUGUGUGUGUGUAUAGGAGACUGCACUAUUUUUCUAUCAGUUAAAUAAUGCUGCAUUGUAAAUACACAAUUAAAGAUAUUACGUAUUUAAUUAAAAAGAAAGUGACAUUAUUCUCCGAUUUCACUGUUGUAAUGCAAAUCACUAUUGGAGGAUUCCAUUAGUUGAACUUUUCAUUUUGUAUAGCACUUACAGACAUCGUCACAAAGCAUCUGGACUGACAGAUGUAGAUUUAGAUCCCUAUCGAGCAAGCUGGAGGUGAAAAACUCCCCGAGACAUCAUGAAGAAGAAACCUAAGAGAGGAAGCAAACUCAAAAGGGUCCUGUUGACACUGGAUAGUGGGAUUACAAAUCAUUACCAGUAUGCAGAUGUAAUAGAGGAAAAGGCAAACAAAUGUGUUCGUGUCAACAUCCUAGGAUGAGUACAGCAGCAGUUUUUAGCAAGCACAAAUCUGCACUAUCAAGUGUUUUCUGGUUUCUAGCUUAUUGUGAAAUCAGACUACUGAUUAUACCUUGCUCUUGAAGCUAGCCCUUUGUGCACAAAAAUGUAAAUAAUAAAGAGUAGGUAGAACAGGUAGAGUCACUAUCAUCAGGGAGAGUAGAUUAAUAUCUGUACACGUUGAUGCAAUAACAUAACUCCAGACAUAGCAGACGACCACUGAUGAAUGAUAAACAUUUUAUUCCUGAGAAAAUUCACAUCCUUCCACUUCCAAGCUUAAAAAGAAGAAGAAAAAAAGAAGAAGAAAAAAAAAACCCAGAUCAGCAUGGAGUGUCACAAACACAGCAUGGCUUUUUCACUUUAAAGGGCUUGAAAUCAAAUGGAAACACAGGAAUAAUUC